ACGGGUGGAGUAAUGUCUGGGAAACGUGCCUGAUGGAGGGGGAGUAACUACUGGAACGGUAGCUAAUACCGCAUAACGUCGCAAGACCAAAGAGGGGGACCGUUCGGGCCGUCUUGCCAUCGGAUGUGCCCAGAUGGGAUUAGCUAGUAGGUGGGGUAACGGCUCACCUAGGCGACGAUCCCUAGCUGGUCUGAGAGGAUGACCAGCCACACUGGAACUGAGACACGGUCCAGACUCCUACGGGAGGCAGCAUG
RNAcentral lists this ribosomal RNA (254 nucleotides) under uncultured bacterium. RNAcentral describes it as "partial 16S ribosomal RNA". It matches the Rfam family "Bacterial small subunit ribosomal RNA", at positions 100 to 353 of the family's 1533-position model. The record is from RNAcentral.